ACCCAUGGUCUUGUUUGUCCUGCAGGUUAGUGAGCAGCAUCAGGAGGAGGAGCUCAAGCACGACCACCAAGAGGCACCACCGCAGCAGCAGAUGAGUCCGUCGAUGAAGCGGCAACGUCUCCUCUAGAGGGUGACGGUGGUGGCGGCGCCUGUGUGCGGCUUCGACUACAACCUCCUCUCUGGAGCUCCAGGCCUAAGAAAGUUGGAAGUGCGAAGACAUGAAGAAAAGCGCGAAGCCAUGAAGUGCUACUCAGCAAAGAGUUGUCUGUUCUAUUUGACUGUAAUAUUGUAAUAGCUGGUAUACCUAGGUUGUAAUAGUCUACAGAAAUUAUAGUGCACUAAUAUAGUGUCAUUUGACGAGUUUCACAUGUUCUCUUGUUUGGAAUAUUUGAUUAUGAAUGUGAUUUGUUUG
Molecule: long non-coding RNA, 412 nt
Organism: Triticum dicoccoides
Lineage: Eukaryota; Viridiplantae; Streptophyta; Magnoliopsida; Poales; Poaceae
Exons: 3
Source: RefSeq, a predicted model, not a curated record